GACGAACGCUGGCGGCGUGCUUAACACAUGCCAGUCGAACGGAAAGGCCCUGCUUUUGUGGGGUGCUCGAGUGGCGAACGGGUGAGUAACACGUGAGUAACCUGCCCUUGACUUUGGGAUAACUUCAGGAAACUGGGGCUAAUACCGGAUAGGAGCUCCUGCUGCAUGGUGGGGGUUGGAAAGUUUCGGCGGUUGGGGAUGGAUUCGCGGCUUAUCAGCUUGUUGGUGGGGUAGUGGAUUACCAAGGCUUUGACGGGUAGCCGGCCUGGGAGGGUGACCGGGGACAUUGGGCCUAAGAGACGGACCAGACGCCUACGGGAGGCAGCAGGGGGGAGUAUUGCACAAUGGGGGGAAGCCUGAUGCAGAAACGCCGCGUGCGGGAUGACGGCCUUCGGGUUGUAAACCGCUUUCGCAUGUGACGAAGCGUGCGUGGCGGUAAUGGGUAAAGAAGCACCGGCUAACUACGUG
RNAcentral lists this ribosomal RNA (468 nucleotides) under uncultured bacterium. RNAcentral describes it as "partial 16S ribosomal RNA". It matches the Rfam family "Bacterial small subunit ribosomal RNA", at positions 28 to 507 of the family's 1533-position model. The record is from RNAcentral.